Molecule: unclassified non-coding RNA, 522 nt
Filed under: Cunninghamella bertholletiae
Lineage: Eukaryota; Fungi; Mucoromycota; Mucoromycetes; Mucorales; Cunninghamellaceae
Description: sequence contains 28S rRNA gene
Rfam family: Eukaryotic large subunit ribosomal RNA
Source: RNAcentral
AGAGGGAAAAGCUCAAAGUUGGAACCUGGUAGGCAUAGCUUACCCGGAUUGUAAACUAAAGUUUUCGAGUCGUUUAGUCAGCCAGGUAAAUAAGUCCUCUGGAAAGGGGCGACAUAGAGGGUGAAAUCCCCGUCUUUGGCCUGAGUUUUGAGGCGGUUUUGGCUUUGAAAACGAAAAGUUCCAGUUUUUUUGGGAAUUCCGCCCUAAAAUGGGGGGGUAAAUUUUUUCCUAAAAGCUAAAAUUUUGGCGGAAAGGCCCGAUAGGGAACCAAGUUCCCGUGAGGGAAAGAUGAAAAGCCCUUUGAAAAGAGGGUCAAAAAGUACGUGAAAUUGCUGAAAGGGAACCGUAUGAAAUCAGACCUACUGGUAGGUAAUCAAUCUUUCCUUUGGGAAGGAUGCACUUGCCUACUAUGUAUGCCAGCGACAUUUUGGUUGGGAGGAAAAAAAUAAAGGAAAUGUAGCUUAGGUUUCGGCUUAGGUGUUAUAGUCCUUUAUAAAAUACUCUCGGCUGGAAUGAGGAACG